UGUACCCUAAAUAUGCCUUUUAUAAGACACACGUUGAUAGUCUAUUGGCUAGAAAAAUUUGAGAGGUAAAAAAAUCAGUUUUAACUCGACGAAGAAAAUAGUCAGUGGCUUUCCUCGACGAAGAAAAUCAUCUGCUGUUGCUCAGUCGAAUCAAAAGAUGAAAUUUUCAUUGAAGAAACAAUCAUAAAUUCUCUGCAGAUACAAUCGAUCUUUUCUGCAAACUCAAGACACUUGUGCAUAGCUUAGAUAAUGAAAGAAAUGGAUGCCAGCAGAUGAUGUAGUGCUCAUCAAUUCGUGGUUAAACACGAGCAAAGAUCAUGUUGUAGAGAAUGAGCAAAGAUCUAGUGCUUUCUGGAAAAGAAUUGCCGCCUACUUUGCGGCAAGUCCAAAGGUUACAUGUCGUGAACACAGAGAGCCAAGUAAAUGUAAGUAACGUUGCCACAAGAUCAAUGACAUUGUCUGCAAGUUUUGUGGAUCGUAUGAAGCUGUAACCAGAGAGAAAAGUAGCGGUCAAAAUGAGAAUGAUGUUCUCAAACUAGCUCAUGAAAUCUUCUUCA
This is a long non-coding RNA of Brassica oleracea var. oleracea, 557 nucleotides long. RefSeq lists it as uncharacterized. The transcript has 3 exons. The record is from RefSeq and is a predicted model, not a curated record. Lineage: Eukaryota; Viridiplantae; Streptophyta; Magnoliopsida; Brassicales; Brassicaceae.